AUAUUCACCUGGCAGGAGAGGGACCAUGAUCACGAAGAUGGUUUCACAGUCCAAGACUUUCCCACUGCACUCGGGCGUGCUGACAUGUAAACUCAACUGCAUAAUUGUGAUAGUGCCAGCUUGGUUCCCAUGCUCCCC
RNAcentral lists this small nuclear RNA (138 nucleotides) under Mesocricetus auratus (golden hamster). RNAcentral describes it as "U1 spliceosomal RNA (ENSMAUG00000004176.1)". It matches the Rfam family "U1 spliceosomal RNA". From Rfam's summary of the family: U1 is a small nuclear RNA (snRNA) component of the spliceosome (involved in pre-mRNA splicing). Lineage: Eukaryota; Metazoa; Chordata; Mammalia; Rodentia; Cricetidae. The record is from RNAcentral.